RNAcentral lists this ribosomal RNA (253 nucleotides) under uncultured bacterium. RNAcentral's name for it is "partial 16S ribosomal RNA". It matches the Rfam family "Bacterial small subunit ribosomal RNA", at positions 524 to 776 of the family's 1533-position model. The record is from RNAcentral.
UACGUAGGGUGCGAGCGUUAAUCGGAAUUACUGGGCGUAAAGGGUGCGCAGGCGGUUUGGUAAGUCAGCUGUGAAAUACCUGGGCUUAACCUGGGAAUGGCAGUUGAGACUGUCAGGCUAGAGUGUGUCAGAGGGGGGUAGAAUUCCACGUGUAGCAGUGAAAUGCGUAGAGAUGUGGAGGAACACCGAUGGCGAAGGCAGCCCCCUGGGAUAACACUGACGCUCAAGCACGAAAGCGUGGGGAGCAAACAGG